AGAAUUUGCUCCAACAAAAACUCAAAGUUUCUUAAUGCUAGGGACAGAAUGGUGGGACUUCCGUCCAGAGAUCAUAUAUGAGAUGCAGAGCUGAACUGGAACGGAGAAUCUUAAGAAUCAGGAUACUAAACUCAAUGUCACUGCAGCGUCUUGCAUUUUGUUGGUGAUUCAUUGGUUCCUGAUAUCAUUGGUAAAAACUGCCUGGAGGGUGCCAAAGUUCUGCAACAGGUUGAUAAGAAGUUUAUUCCGAUUGUGGUGGGCACAAAACUUGCUAUAAUUGAUCAGGACUAUUCUGGCCUCUGCAUAGUCCAUUAUGCCAUUCCUGGUUUCUCAUGAAUUCCUUAUAAUGCAUUUAUUUUAGACAAUUGUUUCUCAUAGGGAUGGUUUGGUUGGACUCAGUAGCAAACAUAAAUCUCAGCAUAAACUUUCGCAUAAAUAGUAUAGCAUUUGCUGGCUGCGUAAGAAAAAGUAAUAUCCGCAUAAGUCAUAACUAUGUAGCACUCAGUUAUCCGCAUAAGAAAAAAUACGCUCGACAUAACUAAUGCUGCAUUUUGUUGGCGGUAUUUAUCUGUUCAUUUUUAAUAUCCUUAUGACUUAUGCAAGAAUCUAUGUAUUACUUUAUGCGGGAUAGAGUAUGGAAUAAAAACAUAUUUGUCAACAAUGCAUGGAUUCGUGUUUAAAGGCAAAAAUUCUCUUUAAUGUAGAUAGUCCCUGCAUAGCAUAACUCAUUUAUUAUUCACCGCGUUAGGAUCCCUACAUUAUUAUUUACCGCAUAACAGUUUUUACAUUAUAAUCACUGCAUAAACAUUCCCUGUAUGACUAAUACUUUAACCAAAUAAUGUCUUACUCUUUUGUAGUGCAAUUUUGUGAUAUCACUGAAGAGAAGGAGAGUGAUAUAGGGUGCUUUAUAUUUUGUUCCAUCACUUUGUGACCGUCUGGUGGAGUAUAUUGUUAUGUAGAAACUGAGGCCCAUGUCAAAAUAAAUGUGCAUCUCUUUUUUCAUAGUCGAGGAUUAUGAUAUUUUGUUUGAUUCUAGCAUUUAUCUUUGUUAAGCAUUACACUCAUUGUCAUGUUCUACAGCAUGCUGCAGAUGAGUGAAUUCAUUUUGAAGAACUGCGUGAGAAGGUAGUGAUUGUGUAAAAACUCAUUGAUGUGUCAUUUCAACGUGGAGUCUGUAACUUAGUGAAUUAUCAGGUCCUAUCUGGACAAAAGAAGACAACAACCUAUCUUGUUUACGAGCAAGAAUUGAUACAUUUAUGGUCAUCUAAUGUGAAAUAGAUUUGCCUUGUGCCGCUUGGCUUGCGGGGAAGACUUAGAAACUCCUUAUAAUAGGUAACAUUGAUUUUUGAGUCUUUGACCAUACUAUGCUGACCAAAUUCAAAACUGGGGUUGGAUCUGCAAUAUUCAUUCUCGAGCUUCAAGAUCAUUUAUCAUGAACUUAAAUCUGAUUCACAAGCAAGCAACAUCUGUCACACUUUUUGCGGUUUCUUCUGUAGUUGAUCUUAAUACAUUUUCCUUCUUUAAGUAGCAUGGAGGGACCAUUUUCAUCGUGCAAGCUUGAGUUCUUAUCUAACACAAGCUUGAGUUCUUAUCUAACACAAUUAAUUGAAUUUAUAUUUAAGUGAUUUCUCUUAAGAAUUAUUUUAUGCCUGUUUGAGUUAUUCAACCCCUGAAUUUUUAUUAUUUAUUUUUUACUUUUAAUGCUUAUGGAUAUACUAUAAUCUUUGGUGUUAAUUCGAUUUUAUUGCGCAUAGAUUUUUUUACGGUAUCCAAUCUAGGGACAUGUCUUAGAGUUCAUGAAAGAAGAGCCUCAGAUCUCAUUUAUAAUUAUUUUAGCUGUUAAUUUAAGAGUAGAUAAUUGUAUGAAGCAAUCAAAGUAAUGGAGGUUUCAGUCCAAACUUAAGAUGUGAGUUUAUCUUUGUUUAUUUUAUGUAUUUAGACAUCUCUUUGUGCAGUUUCGUAAU
Molecule: long non-coding RNA, 1964 nt
Organism: Solanum dulcamara
Lineage: Eukaryota; Viridiplantae; Streptophyta; Magnoliopsida; Solanales; Solanaceae
Exons: 4
Source: RefSeq, a predicted model, not a curated record